Molecule: ribosomal RNA, 497 nt
Filed under: uncultured bacterium
Lineage: Bacteria
Description: partial 16S ribosomal RNA
Rfam family: Bacterial small subunit ribosomal RNA
Source: RNAcentral
GAUGAACGCUGGCGGCGUGCCUAAUACAUGCAAGUCGAGCGAACGGACGAGAAGCUUGCUUCUCUGAUGUUAGCGGCGGACGGGUGAGUAACACGUGGAUAACCUACCUAUAAGACUGGGAUAACUUCGGGAAACCGUAGCUAAUACCGGAUAAUAUUUUGAACCGCAUGGUUCAAAAGUGAAAGACGGUCUUGCUGUCACUUAUAGAUGGAUCCGCGCUGCAUUAGCUAGUUGGUAAGGUAACGGCUUACCAAGGCAACGAUGCAUAGCCGACCUGAGAGGAUGAUCGGCCACACUGGAACUGAGACACGGUCCAGACUCCUACGGGAGGCAGCAGUAGGGAAUCUUCCGCAAUGGGCGAAAGCCUGACGGAGCAACGCCGCGUGAGUGAUGAAGGUCUUCGGAUCGUAAAACUCUGUUAUUAGGGAAGAACAUAUGUGUAAGUAACUGUGCACAUCUUGACGGUUCCUAAUCAGAAAGCCACGGCUAACUACGUG